Molecule: unclassified non-coding RNA, 337 nt
Filed under: Cortinarius aureomarginatus
Lineage: Eukaryota; Fungi; Basidiomycota; Agaricomycetes; Agaricales; Cortinariaceae
Description: sequence contains ITS1
Rfam family: 5.8S ribosomal RNA (bases 1-105)
Source: RNAcentral
GAAAUGCGAUAAGUAAUGUGAAUUGCAGAAUUCAGUGAAUCAUCGAAUCUUUGAACGCACCUUGCGCUCCUUGGUAUUCCGAGGAGCAUGCCUGUUUGAGUGUCAUUAAUAUAUAUCAAGCCUUCUCUUGUAGAAGGGUUUGGAUGUGGGGGUUUGCUGGCCUCUUAAAAGGGUUCAGCUCUCCUGAAAUGCAUUAGCAGAACAAACCUUGUGUUCAUUGGUGUGAUAACUAUCUACGCUAUCGAAUGUCGAGGGGGCAGUUCAGCUUUCUAACGGUCUUUGGACAACUCAUCAUUAAUGUGACCUCAAAUCAGGUAGGACUACCCGCUGAACUUAA